Molecule: ribosomal RNA, 1335 nt
Filed under: Triticum aestivum (bread wheat)
Lineage: Eukaryota; Viridiplantae; Streptophyta; Magnoliopsida; Poales; Poaceae
Description: partial small subunit ribosomal RNA
Source: RNAcentral
AUGGCGUCCGCGCUCUCCGUGCCGCUCCUCUCGGCGCUGCUCGGCGGGGCCGUCGCGCUCGUCUUCCUCGCCGGGUACCUGCGCCGCAAGCGCGCCGACAUCGCGCACCUGCCCCCCUCCGCCGCCGCCGCCGCGCCGGACCUGCCCAAGCAGGUCCGCCCCGCCGGCCAGAACAAGAAGGGCGGAGGGCACGCCCGCGUCCACCACCACCACACCUCCGCCGCCGACAAGGAGGCGGCCAAGAAGCACCACCACCUCGACGUCAACACCCUGAGGGGCCACACCGACUGCGUCACCGCGCUCGACUUCUCCACCGACGCCUGCAACCUAGCCACCGUAUGCGCGGAUGGGGUUGUGAGAGUAUUCAGGAUCGACGAUGCAUCAAGCAAGAGCUUUAAGAUUCUCAAGAUAAACUUGCCUGCUGGGGCACAUCCCACUGCCAUCGCUUACUCAGAAGGGUCAUCAUCCGUUGUUGUGGCAGCACAGGCGCUGUUAGGCUCGUCGCUCUACAUGUAUGCGGAUGUUGGUGCUCCUCCAACUGGGGGAAACAAACAGCAGGGCAAGCUUUCUCCUCCUGAGAUCAAGUGGGACCACAAAAAGAUUCACGGCAAGGAGUCGGUGCUGAACCUUGCGGCAGCUCGUGCAACUCAUGGGACUGGUGAUGGGAGCACAAUAGUGAUUUCUUGCUCUGAAGCAACUGAUAUCAAAAUAUGGCAUGGAAAGAGUGGCAAAGAGUUGGGAACAGUUGACACUAAUCAGUUGAAAAACAACAUGGCUGACAUAUCCCCAAAUGGCCGCUUCAUUGCUGCUGCAGCUUUCACUGCUGAUGUCAAGGUGUGGGAGAUUGUUUAUUCGAAGGAUAGUUCAGUGAAGGAGGUUAACAGGGUCAUGCAGCUCAAGGGUCACAAGAGUGCUGUUACUAGUUUGUGUUUCACUCCGGAUUCUGAGAAGAUUAUUACUGCGUCGAAAGAUGGUACCAUCCGGGUAUGGAAUAUCAAUGUAAGGUAUCACCUUGAUGAGGAUCCCAAAACCUUGAGAGUUUUGCCAGUCCCUCUGCAUGAUUCAAAAGGCUCUACUUGCCUGUAUGAACACAUGGGCAUCUCCCCAGAUGGUAAAGUUCUGGCUGUAACAAGCGGAUCGACGUUGCAAUGGUUAUGUGCAGAAACUGGCGCGGUUUUGGAUACAGCUGAGAAGGCUCAUGAAGGUGCUAUUUCUGGCAUUGCGUGGGCUCCACGGACAAUUCCAAAUGGUGGUGCUCCUGCGUUCAUUCUAGCGAGUUGCGGGGACGACAAAAAGGUGAAACUGUGGUUAGCUCCGGAGGUCAGCUCGACAUGA